RNAcentral lists this ribosomal RNA (497 nucleotides) under uncultured bacterium. RNAcentral describes it as "partial 16S ribosomal RNA". It matches the Rfam family "Bacterial small subunit ribosomal RNA", at positions 28 to 507 of the family's 1533-position model. The record is from RNAcentral.
GAUGAACGCUGGCGGCGUGCCUAAUACAUGCAAGUCGAGCGAACAGAUGAGGAGCUUGCUCCUCUGACGUUAGCGGCGGACGGGUGAGUAACACGUGGAUAACCUACCUAUAAGACUGGGAUAACUUCGGGAAACCGGAGCUAAUACCGGAUAAUAUAUUGAACCGCAUGGUUCAAUAGUGAAAGACGGUUUUGCUGUCACUUAUAGAUGGAUCCGCGCCGCAUUAGCUAGUUGGUAAGGUAACGGCUUACCAAGGCAACGAUGCGUAGCCGACCUGAGAGGGUGAUCGGCCACACUGGAAGUGAGACACGGUCCAGACUCCUACGGGAGGCAGCAGUAGGGAAUCUUCCGCAAUGGGCGAAAGCCUGACGGAGCAACGCCGCGUGAGAGAUGAAGGUCUUCGGAUCGUAAAACUCUGUUAUUAGGGAAGAACAAAUGUGUAAGUAACUAUGCACGUAUUGACGGUACCUAAUCAGAAAGCCACGGCUAACUACGUG